This is an RNA transcript of Musa acuminata AAA Group (dessert banana), 1810 nucleotides long. It is a transcript of the gene named plastoglobule-localized metallopeptidase 48, chloroplastic-like, with no coding region annotated. Lineage: Eukaryota; Viridiplantae; Streptophyta; Magnoliopsida; Zingiberales; Musaceae. The record is from RefSeq and is a predicted model, not a curated record. The transcript is spliced from 10 exons.
AGCAUUUGGGUGUGCGGGGGAUUACCGAAUGGCUGCUCUCUUCUCCCUGACCUGCGUCGUCUCCCCCAAACCCUCGCUUCCGGUCCCCGUUCGGAGCUCGAACGCCCGAUGGCGGUGGGAGUCGGUUGCUUCGAGAGUUGUGUUGCAGCCUGAGACGCGGAGAUCGAGAGUUGUCGCUCUGGUUUCCCAGGCUUCCCGGGUCGUCUUCCGUGACCUCGACGCCGAUGAUUUCAGGCACCCCCUCGAUAAGCAGAAUACUCUGCUACUGAGGACAAUUCCUGGGUUGAAUGAACUUGGCAAGGCGUUGUUAGGACCAAUGACAGAGCAAGUAAUGCUUCUUGAGAACAUAGGAACAUCAGUACUAGUUUCUGAAAAUCAGCUCCCCGAUCUUCAUAAAUUGAUGAUUGAGGCGGCAAAAGUACUAGACACUGAAGCUCCUGAUCUUUAUGUCCGCCAGAAUCCUGUUCCAAAUGCAUACACCUUGGCAAUUAGUGGUAGGAAACCAUUUAUAGUUGUUCACACUAGCCUUGUGGAGCUUCUUACUAGAAGAGAACUACAGGCCGUUUUGGCUCAUGAGUUGGGCCACUUAAAAUGUGACCAUGGGGUGUGGCUUACAUUUGCAAACAUAAUUACGCUUGGAGCUUACUCUGUACCUGGCCUUGGUGGGUUGAUUGCCCAGAGUUUGGAAGAACAGCUUUGUAGGUGGCUUCGAGCUGCUGAGCUAACUUGCGAUAGGGCGGCUCUCCUUGUUGCACAAGAUCCAAAGGUGGUCAUCUCUGUUUUGAUGAAACUGGCUGGAGGGUGUCCAUCUCUUUCUGACCAGCUAAAUGUAGAUGCAUUCUUGGAGCAAGCUCGCUCAUAUGACAAGGCUUCUUCCAACCCCAUUGGUUGGUACAUCAGGAAUGCUCAAACGAGGCAGUUAUCCCACCCCUUGCCUGUUCUACGUGCCCGUGAAAUUGACGAGUGGUCAAGGGGUCAGGAAUACAAAUAUCUACUGAAGCAUGCUAUCCAACUGGAAGAUUCUCUAAAGCCUAGAAAUACCUAUGUGCGGUGAAGAUUGCGAUGAUGUUUUAAAUGCUUAAUGUUGAAAUUAAACCAGAAGGACUAGAUCCUUGUUUCUAUCCAUAGAACCAUACUUCUCUCGGUGAAUGUUUGUCUUCAUGACUACAGGAUAGACCUAUCAAAAUGGGCAACGACUGUAGGUGAAGGGAUUGUGGCAGAUAUUGCACACCGGGAUUCCUCGGGAGAAUCUGGAGGCAGAUAUCUCAUAUGUCUCAAUGAAGGAAUUGAUUGGAAGACAGAAGCUAGCAAGCCUUACUCAAGAUGAUAAGGAUAACAGAUAAAACCAGGGGAAGAAAUUUAGAGAGUUGAAAGAAGCUAAGCCUCUGAAAGUGACCAGUGCCUGCUUGUUCACCUCACUAGACAACAACAGUAAUAAUCUCUUUGCAUUUGAUCUUUCUAUUUCAAUCAAUUUCUAUUGAUAUGAAUCCAAUUGAAAAGGAUAGGACCCUCACCCCAACAAUAUAAUCCCAUAAUCUAUUAGAUUUCUUCCUUCCUUGUGGGUUCAUGAGAUGACUCCAGUAGCCCCUUCGAUGUAAUCCAUAGAACACAUACAUGGUUGUGGUUGUGAAUGACCAAGUCAGCUCUUGUGAUGUGAGGGGGAGGCAUCAGUAGUCUUUGUUUUAACAUGACAAUUAACCCUCUUGCAAGUGGUGAUUUGACAUGAAGAAAGAUGGCAAGAUUUGCCUAACCUGCAUGUAGAAAUUAUGAACAAAAUCUGGUUAUUAUAUAACUUGUCCUCUUAAUUUGA